RNAcentral lists this ribosomal RNA (500 nucleotides) under uncultured bacterium. RNAcentral's name for it is "partial 16S ribosomal RNA". It matches the Rfam family "Bacterial small subunit ribosomal RNA", at positions 30 to 523 of the family's 1533-position model. The record is from RNAcentral.
AUUGAACGCUAGCGGGAUGCCUUACACAUGCAAGUCGAACGGCAGCGCGGACUUCGGUCUGGCGGCGAGUGGCGAACGGGUGAGUAAUGUAUCGGAACGUGUCCAGUAGCGGGGGAUAACUACUCGAAAGAGUAGCUAAUACCGCAUACGCCCUACGGGGGAAAGGGGGGGAUCGCAAGACCUCUCACUAUUGGAGCGGCCGAUAUCGGAUUAGCUAGUUGGUGAGGUAAAGGCUCACCAAGGCGACGAUCCGUAGCUGGUUUGAGAGGACGACCAGCCACACUGGGACUGAGACACGGCCCAGACUCCUACGGGAGGCAGCAGUGGGGAAUUUUGGACAAUGGGGGCAACCCUGAUCCAGCCAUUCCGCGUGUGCGAUGAAGGCCUUCGGGUUGUAAAGCACUUUUGGCAGGAAAGAAAUCGCACGGAUUAAUACUCUGUGUGGAUGACGGUACCUGCAGAAUAAGCACCGGCUAACUACGUGCCAGCCGCCGCGGUAA